This 469-nucleotide long non-coding RNA is filed under the name Physcomitrium patens. Its description in RNAcentral is "long non-coding RNA (PPAT_LNC001692)". The record is from RNAcentral. Lineage: Eukaryota; Viridiplantae; Streptophyta; Bryopsida; Funariales; Funariaceae.
UUUGGUUUAGAAUUAGGAUUGGAUUAGGAUUUAAAAUUUGGUUAGACUUUAGGGUUGGACUAGGAUUUAGAAUUUGGUUAGGAAUUGAUUAGGAUUUAAGAUUCGACCCAUAAUUUUAUUGAAGUCCAUUAGGGUUCCAAUUAGGAUUAAAUUAGGACUUAGUUGAGAUUUAUUUAAGACAUAUUUGUGAUUAUUUUAAUAUUUCUUUAGGAUUUCUUAAAGAUUCUUUUAAGAUUUAUUGUAGAUUACUUUUGAAUUUUUUUAAGAUUUUGUAUUAUUUCUUUUGUAAUUUCUUUAAUAUUUCUUUUAAAUUUUAUUAAAGCUUGUUUAGCAUUAUUAAGGUUUAAUUAGAGUUAUUUAAUAUUCUAUUAGAGUUAAAAUUUUGUUGUUGUAAUUUCCAUUCUAUCUUCCACAGCCAAGUGCUCGGUGUGUUUUCAAGCAAAGUUCACGUAAUCUGACUAUGCCUUGA